GAUGAACGCUGGCGGCGUGCCUAAUACAUGCAAGUCGAGCGAACAGAUGAGGAGCUUGCUCCUCUGACGUUAGCGGCGGACGGGUGAGUAACACGUGGAUAACCUACCUAUAAGACUGGGAUAACUUCGGGAAACCGGAGCUAAUACCGGAUAAUAUAUUGAACCGCAUGGUUCAUUAGUGAAAGACGGUUUUGCUGUCACUUAUAGAUGGAUCCGCGCCGCAUUAGCUAGUUGGUAAGGUAACGGCUUACCAAGGCAACGAUGCGUAGCCGACCUGAGAGGGUGAUCGGCCACACUGGAACUGAGACACGGUCCAGACUCCUACGGGAGGCAGCAGUAGGGAAUCUUCCGCAAUGGGCGAAAGCCUGACGGAGCAACGCCGCGUGAGUGAUGAAGGUCUUCGGAUCGUAAAACUCUGUUAUUAGGGAAGAACAAAUGUGUAAGUAACUAUGCACGUCUUGACGGUACCUAAUCAGAAAGCCACGGCUAACUACGUG
This 497-nucleotide ribosomal RNA is filed under the name uncultured bacterium. Its description in RNAcentral is "partial 16S ribosomal RNA". It matches the Rfam family "Bacterial small subunit ribosomal RNA", at positions 28 to 507 of the family's 1533-position model. The record is from RNAcentral.